UGGGGGAUAUUGCACAAUGGGCGAAAGCCUGAUGCAGCGACGCCGCGUGGGGGAUGAAGGCCUUCGGGUUGUAAACGUCUUUUGCUCUGAACAAGGCGCACCAUGGGGUGUGUUGAGUGUAGGGGUUGAUUAGCGCCGGCUAACUACGUGCCAGCAGCCGCGGUAAUACGUAGGGCGCGAGCGUUGUCCGGGAUUAUUGGGCGUAAAGGGCUUGUAGGUGGCUGGUUGCGUCUGUCGUGAAAGCUCAUGGCUUAACUGUGGGUUUGCGGUGGGUACGGGCUGGCUUGAGUGCAGUAGUGGAGGCUGGGAUUCCUGGUGUAGCGGUGGAAUCCGCGGAUAUCAGGAGGAAUACCGGUGGCGAAGGCGGGUCUCUGGGCUGUUACUGACACUGUAGAGCGAAAGCAUGCGGAGCGAACAGG
This 419-nucleotide ribosomal RNA is filed under the name bacterium. RNAcentral's name for it is "partial 16S ribosomal RNA". It matches the Rfam family "Bacterial small subunit ribosomal RNA", at positions 355 to 776 of the family's 1533-position model. The record is from RNAcentral.